UGGUUCCAGUCCUGCCUGCAAGGUCAAG
RNAcentral lists this non-coding RNA (28 nucleotides) under Mus musculus (house mouse). The record is from RNAcentral. Lineage: Eukaryota; Metazoa; Chordata; Mammalia; Rodentia; Muridae.